This 324-nucleotide RNase P RNA is filed under the name Chryseobacterium soli. RNAcentral's name for it is "bacterial RNase P". It matches the Rfam family "Bacterial RNase P class A". From Rfam's summary of the family: Ribonuclease P (RNase P) is a ubiquitous endoribonuclease, found in archaea, bacteria and eukarya as well as chloroplasts and mitochondria. Its best characterised activity is the generation of mature 5'-ends of tRNAs by cleaving the 5'-leader elements of precursor-tRNAs. The record is from RNAcentral. Lineage: Bacteria; Pseudomonadati; Bacteroidota; Flavobacteriia; Flavobacteriales; Weeksellaceae.
CGAGAAAGUCGGCUUGUUGAUUCCUGCUUCGGCAGGGGUAGGAAAGUCCGGACACCAUAGAGCAGCAAAGCGGAUAACAUCCGUCACCCGUGAGGGUAGGACAAGUGCAACAGAAAGCAGGUACAGUUCGGCUGUAGUGAAACCAGGUAAACUCUUUGCGGUGCAAUGAUAAGUAUAUCGGUUCUUUUCAGCAAUGAAAAUAGGGGCGGCUCGCUCUGAAAGCCGAGGGGUAAUCAGCUAAAGUAUUGCAGCAAUGCAGUACGCAGAUAAAUAACAGGCACUUCUUCGGAAGUACAAAAUCCGGCUUACAGAUUUUCUCGUGAU